GCUGAUGAAAUGAUGUUAACAAAAGGCCGAAUUGUAGCUCUUCUAUCAAGCAGUUUGUUCUUGUAUGGAUAGAGCUUUGACAAAAACUAGACCGAAGCGUUUAACUGAUCUGUCAGC
Molecule: small nucleolar RNA, 117 nt
Organism: Puntigrus tetrazona (Sumatra barb)
Lineage: Eukaryota; Metazoa; Chordata; Actinopteri; Cypriniformes; Cyprinidae
Product: small nucleolar RNA SNORD89
Exons: 1
Source: RefSeq, a predicted model, not a curated record